AACGAACGCUGGCGGCAUGCCUAACACAUGCAAGUCGAACGAGACCUCCGGGUCUAGUGGCGCACGGGUGCGUAACGCGUGGGAACCUGCCCUUAGGUUCGGAAUAACUCCCCGAAAGGGGUGCUAAUACCGGAUAAUGUCUUCGGACCAAUGAUUUAUCGCCUUUGGAUGGGCCCGCGUUGGAUUAGCUAGUUGGUAGGGUAAAAGCCUACCAAGGCGACGAUCCAUAGCUGGUCUGAGAGGAUGAUCAGCCACACUGGGACUGGGACACGGCCCAGACUCCUACGGGAGGCGGCAGUGGGGAAUAUUGGACAAUGGGCGAAAGCCUGAUCCAGCAAUGCCGCGUGAGUGAUGAAGGCCUUAGGGUUGUAAAGCUCUUUUACCCGGGAUGAUAAUGACAGUACCGGGAGAAUAAGCUCCGGCUAACUCCGUG
RNAcentral lists this ribosomal RNA (433 nucleotides) under uncultured bacterium. Its description in RNAcentral is "partial 16S ribosomal RNA". It matches the Rfam family "Bacterial small subunit ribosomal RNA", at positions 29 to 507 of the family's 1533-position model. The record is from RNAcentral.